This 472-nucleotide ribosomal RNA is filed under the name Taxomyia taxi. RNAcentral's name for it is "partial large subunit ribosomal RNA". Lineage: Eukaryota; Metazoa; Arthropoda; Insecta; Diptera; Cecidomyiidae. The record is from RNAcentral.
UAUACUGACUGUGCUAAGGUAGCAUAAUCAUUAGAUUUUUAAUUGAAAUCUUGUUUGAAAGGUUAAAUGAAAUAAAUUCUUUUUUAUUAUAAAUAUUGAAUUUUAUUUUUUAGUUAAAAAGCUAAAAUAAUAUAAAGGGACGAGAAGACCCUAUAGAAUUUUAUAAAAUUUAAAUUUAAAUUUAAUAAUUAUUUUAAUUUAAAUUUAAUAAUUUAUUUUGUUGGGGCGAUAGUUAAAUUUAAUUAACUUUUAAAUUAAAAAUCAUUUAUAUUUGUAUUUAUGAUCUUUUUAUAUUGAUUAAAAAUUUAAAUUACCUUAGGGAUAACAGCAUAAUAUUAUUAAAAAGUUCUUAUUUUUAAUAUUGUUUAUGACCUCGAUGUUGGAUUAAAUAAAAUUUUUAUAAGAAAAAUUAUAAUAAAUAAGUCUGUUCGACUUUUAAUUAUUUACAUGAUCUGAGUUCAAACCGGUGUAA